AACUUAAAUAGUCCUAGAACAAGACUAUUCGCCAGAGUACUAUCGGCAACAGCCCAAAACUCAAAGGACUUGGCGGUGCUUCAUAUCCUUCUAGAGGAGCCUGUUCUGUAAACGAUAAACCACGAUUAACCUCACCAAUCCUUGCUACUUCAGUCUAUAUACCGCCAUCUUCAGCAAACCCUAAAAAAGGAAUGAAAGUAAGCACAACUAUUGCACGUAAAAACGUUAGGUCAAGGUGUAACCUAUGGAUUGGGAAGAAAUGGGCUACAUUUUCUACAAUAAGAACACCCCCUAAACUUAUACGAAAGUUUUUAUGAAAUCUAAAAACUAAAGGAGGAUUUAGCAGUAAAUUAAGAAUAGAAUGCUUAAUUGAAUAAGGCCAUGAAGCACGC
This 392-nucleotide ribosomal RNA is filed under the name Globicephala macrorhynchus (short-finned pilot whale). RNAcentral describes it as "partial 12S ribosomal RNA". It matches the Rfam family "Bacterial small subunit ribosomal RNA", at positions 875 to 1384 of the family's 1533-position model. Lineage: Eukaryota; Metazoa; Chordata; Mammalia; Artiodactyla; Delphinidae. The record is from RNAcentral.